GACGAACGCUGGCGGCGUGCUUAACACAUGCAAGUCGAACGGAAAGGCCCUGCUUUUGUGGGGUGCUCGAGUGGCGAACGGGUGAGUAACACGUGAGUAACCUGCCCUUGACUUUGGGAUAACUUCAGGAAACUGGGGCUAAUACCGGAUAGGAGCUCCUGCUGCAUGGUGGGGGUUGGAAAGUUUCGGCGGUUGGGGAUGGACUCGCGGCUUAUCAGCCUGUUGGUGGGGUAGUGGCUUACCAAGGCUUUGACGGGUAGCCGGCCUGAGAGGGUGACCGGCCACAUUGGGACUGAGAUACGGCCCAGACUCCUACGGGAGGCAGCAGUGGGGAAUAUGGCACAAUGGGCGGAAGCCUGAUGCAGCAACGCCGCGGGCGGGAUGACGGCCUUCGGGUUGUAAACCGCUUUCGCCUGUGACGAAGCGUGAGUGACGGUAAUGGGUAAAGAAGCACCGGCUAACUACGUG
RNAcentral lists this ribosomal RNA (468 nucleotides) under uncultured bacterium. RNAcentral's name for it is "partial 16S ribosomal RNA". It matches the Rfam family "Bacterial small subunit ribosomal RNA", at positions 28 to 507 of the family's 1533-position model. The record is from RNAcentral.